UGGGGAAUUUUGGACAAUGGGGGCAACCCUGAUCCAGCCAUGCCGCGUGUGUGAAGAAGGCCUUCGGGUUGUAAAGCACUUUCGGACGGAACGAAAUCGCACGGGUGAAUAUCCCGUGUGGAUGACGGUACUGUAAGAAGAAGCACCGGCUAACUACGUGCCAGCAGCCGCGGUAAUACGUAGGGUGCGAGCGUUAAUCGGAAUUACUGGGCGUAAAGCGUGCGCAGGCGGCUUUGCAAGUCAGACGUGAAAUCCCCGGGCUUAACCUGGGAAUGGCGUUUGAAACUACGGAGCUGGAGUGUGGCAGAGGGGGGUAGAAUUCCACGUGUAGCAGUGAAAUGCGUAGAUAUGUGGAGGAAUACCGAUGGCGAAGGCAGCCCCCUGGGCCAACACUGACGCUCAUGCACGAAAGCGUGGGGAGCAAACAGGAUUAGAUACCCUGGUAGUCCACGCCCUAAACUAUGUCAACUAGUUGUUGGGGGAGUUAAAUCCCUUAGUAACGCAGCUAACGCGUGAAGUUGACCGCCUGGGGAGCACGGUCGCAAGAUUA
This 550-nucleotide ribosomal RNA is filed under the name uncultured prokaryote. RNAcentral describes it as "bacterial SSU rRNA". It matches the Rfam family "Bacterial small subunit ribosomal RNA", at positions 355 to 896 of the family's 1533-position model. The record is from RNAcentral.